GCGCCGGCUUCCAUUGAAUGAGCGAGGGAAUGAAUUUGUGCUUUGUUUGUGAUGAGAGAGAGAGAGAGAGAGAGAGAGAGAGAGAGAGAGAGAGAGAGAGGGAGAGAGGGAGAGAGAGUGACAAACAGAGGGUGUGUGGGGGUGGUGGAAAAACCGAGGAGGGUGUCUUGGGGGAUUUUGUUUUGUUUUGGUCGUUUUGGAGUUUGGGGAAAGCAAAGCGAAGGCAAAUACGCGAUCGUGCCUAAGUGGCUUAUGCCUUUUGUUUUAAUGUUCUCUUCCUGUGUUUGUGUGUGUUUUGUGGCUUCUUCUAUGUGCACGUGUUAGGGCUCUGGCGGGUUUGCUGUGUCAAUCAAUUGGUUCCACUUUCUCAGUUUCCCUUAAUUCUUUCCAUAAUUCCUUUGAUUUUUUUUUUCUUUCCUUUUUGUUCAAACAAAACAAAAAUCUUUGAAUUUUUAUAUUAAAACUUGCCCAAACCCAUCCAUAACAAAUUUAAGAACCCUUAUAGGAAUGUUAUCAGUAAUUUUAAUUAGAACCUUUGUUACCAAUUAUACGAGUCUUUACCCCCAACUAAAUACAUCUCCAACUUACUGCAUUGCUUUUUAAAAAUAAAAACAAAAUAUUUCGAUACGUCCGGUGUAUAACCUAGUGUACCUGAAAUAUGCAAAAAUUACUCUAAAUAAAGAGAAUCACAUUAUGUGUGGGAAUAUUUUUAUUCGAUUCAACUUUUGCUAAAAGGUGGUGGUUUUUGGUUUCUCUGUCUCUUUUUUCAUCCUUUACGAAACGACUGAUAAGCGAAACGGCUGUGUGAACAACGACAUAUCAAUUGGCAGGCCACAAAGCUUUUUUCUUUUCUUCUUGUCUUUCCUUUGAUAUUAAACGUUUACAUUAUUAUGAAGUAAACGUUACCGGACAACAUGUUGAGAAACUCAACAUUUGACAAUUGGACCCUCAUUGGCUCUGUAUGAGAAUAUUAUAAAGCCACUUCAUCGAAGUCAACCUUAAGGAAGUACUGGAAUAUGGCUCAGAAAUAUACAUAUUCAUAUGCAGGAAGGGUUGGAUUCCUACGAGCUUUGCCUCCUAAAAAUGUUUAAAACAACAGAAACAAUUUUUUUUUUUCAAUAAAAAGGUUUAAAAACGAAGAGGCUAUGAUGAUGUCUCCAUAACCACCCUCCAACUCCUACCCACCUCACUACUAGUUACUUACAAUAGAAUCAAAAGCCUCUUUGGCAGCAUGAAGGGACUUGCCCUUUUCCACUCCUAAAACAUUCCAACCUCCAUGUCUUAUUCAAAGGACAAUCAAGAAAACCACAACACCUCAAACUAUCACUACUUUUCACAUCACAUCCACAGCCAGCAAAUCGCUUCUUUACACCCUCUCUUUGCUAUGAAUCUGAUGGAGUUCCAUCAAAAUCACAAUCUGCUAGCAUCAUCCACCUCCCUUUAGAAAAGAUGGGUCCCAAGAUACGCAUAUACAAUUCAUGGUAAACCAAUGCACAAGAGCUGGUAUCAACAACUAGAUCAACCCUCAAAGAACAUGAAUGAAACUGUCCUGCAGUCAAGACAGCCCUAAAUGUUCGUCACCUACUGCAACAUUAAUCCACUUGACUCAAACGCCCCAGUCAAUAAUAAGGCCUCCAAUUAUCAUGUUCCAAGAAGCUAAGUUUAUCGUAUUUCAUCCAGCUUCUUUUGUGGAUCAAUCAUCACGACAGAUUUCACAAGUAUCACUCUGUUCCUCAUAUAUACUCCCUGUUCAACCUUCAAAAUCCAUGUUCUUUGUACCUCAAACCAACUCGUCUAUUUAACUACAACCUCUAGAACUGGGUUUUACAUUCAGGCUCUCUUUCAAAGGCCAACUUUGGAAGGGCCGUACUGUGGUCUAACUCUAGCUCUUGUUCCACCAAGGAACACCAAAUUUGAGGAAACGUGUUUCACUAUAUUCUUCUACUAAAUGAAGAGGAGAACCCAGAAUACAAAGAUCUCUGUUUUAAAAACUUAGGACCUGGAAAGAAAAAGAGAACCAGAAGCUAGUCUAAACCUAAAAGAUUGGAGCAGAAAAGAUAGGUCGCCUUGAGAAGGAAAAACAGGAUAUCACUCAAGGUCAGAGUCUACGAGAAGGGAGUGAAACAGUGAUGCUGUUGUUAAGAUAGGAGCAAUGUUGUCAGUUGUGGAAAAGGGAACUGUCACAAAUGGCUUGUGAGAGGCGAACAACCAAAAGCUAAAUAUAUCAUCUAUUAAACUAAGGUGUCCGAGAAACACAAACUACUCCUUAACUUUUCAACCUUCUCGUAUUUGAGAACAUCAGUAAUUUCUUUUUAGGCACAUACAAGGGUGGCAUGGCACCAGAUAUACCAAAAAUCAAUUCUAAAAUUGGAACAGUGAGGAGUGAGCAGAUCAAAACUUAGGAAGAACAAUAGCACACAAUAAUGUGGUCAACAGUAGCACAUAUUAAUAAGCAUUUUCCAAUCCAAACAAUUAAACAGAGCCAGUAGAAAAUCUAAACCAUAGUUUGACUACAAAAUCCGUACUUCAAAA
Prunus persica (peach) is the source of this 2532-nucleotide long non-coding RNA. RefSeq lists it as uncharacterized. Lineage: Eukaryota; Viridiplantae; Streptophyta; Magnoliopsida; Rosales; Rosaceae. The transcript has 2 exons. The record is from RefSeq and is a predicted model, not a curated record.